GACGAACGCUGGCGGCGUGCUUAACACAUGCAAGUCGAACGGAAAGGCCCUGCUUUUGUGUGGUGCUCGAGUGGCGAGCGUGUGUGUAACCCGUGAGUAACCUGCCCUUGACUGGGUGAUAACUUCAGGCAACUGGGGCUAAUACAGGAUAGGAGCUCCUGCUGCAGGGUGGGGGUUGGAAAGUUUCGGCGGUUGGGGAUGUACUCGCGGCUUAUCAGCUUGUGGGUGGGGUAGUGGCUUACCAAGGCUUUGACGGGUAGCCGGCCUGAGAGGGUAAACGGACACCAUGGGCCUGAGAUACGGCGCAGACUGCAAUGGGAGACAGCAGUGGAGAAUAUUGCACAAUGGGCGGAAGCCUGAUGCAGAAACGCUGCGAGCGGGAUGCAGGCCUUCGGGGUGUAAACCGCUUUCGCCUGUGACGAUGCGUGAGUGACGGUAAUGGGUAAAGAAGCACCGGCUAACUACGUG
Molecule: ribosomal RNA, 468 nt
Filed under: uncultured bacterium
Lineage: Bacteria
Description: partial 16S ribosomal RNA
Rfam family: Bacterial small subunit ribosomal RNA
Source: RNAcentral